CGCAGCCGCGGUAAUUCCAGCUCCAAUAGCGUAUAUUAAAGUUGUUGCAGUUAAAAAGCUCGUAGUUGAAUUUCGGGAUCAAUAUGUUGGUCGUGCCUUGGUACGUACUAAUUUAUUGGUUUCUUCCUUCUGACGAACCAUGAUGUCAUUAAUUUGGUGUUAUGGGGAAUCAGGACUGUUACUUUGAAAAAAUUAGAGUGUUUAAAGCAGGCUCACGCUUGAAUACAUUAGCAUGGAAUAAUGAGAUAGGACGUUUGAUUCUAUUUUGUUGGUUUCUAGGAUCGACGUAAUGAUUAAUAGGGAUAGUUGGGGGCAUUAGUAUUCAAUUGUCAGAGGUGAAAUUCUUGGAUUUAUUGAAGACUAACUACUGCGAAAGCAUUUGCCAAGGAUGUUUUCAUUAAUCAAGAACGAAAGUUAGGGGAUCGAAGACGAUCAGAUACCGUCGUAGUACUUAACCAUAAACUAUGCCGACUAGGGAUCGGAUGAUGUUAAUUUUUAAUGACUCAUUCGGCGCCUUACG
This 520-nucleotide ribosomal RNA is filed under the name uncultured Glomeromycotina. Its description in RNAcentral is "SSU rRNA". It matches the Rfam family "Eukaryotic small subunit ribosomal RNA", at positions 569 to 1092 of the family's 1831-position model. The record is from RNAcentral. Lineage: Eukaryota; Fungi; Glomeromycota.